CAGUAACGGCGAGUGAAGCGGCAACAGCUCAAAUUUGAAAUCUGGCUCUCGGGCCCGAGUUGUAAUUUGUAGAGGAUGCUUUUGGUGAGGUGCCUUCCGAGUUCCCUGGAACGGGACGCCAUAGAGGGUGAGAGCCCCGUCUGGUUGGACACCGAUCCUCUGUAAAGCUCCUUCGACGAGUCGAGUAGUUUGGGAAUGCUGCUCUAAAUGGGAGGUAUAUGUCUUCUAAAGCUAAAUACCGGCCAGAGACCGAUAGCGCACAAGUAGAGUGAUCGAAAGAUGAAAAGAACUUUGAAAAGAGAGUUAAAAAGUACGUGAAAUUGUUGAAAGGGAAGCGCUUGUGACCAGACUUGGGCUUGGUUGAUCAUCCGGGGUUCUCCCCGGUGCACUCUUCCGGCUCAGGCCAGCAUCAGUUCGCCCUGGGGGAUAAAGGCUUCGGGAAUGUGGCUCUCUCCGGGGAGUGUUAUAGCCCGCUGCGUAAUACCCUGUGGCGGACUGAGGUUCGCGCAUUCGCAAGGAUGCUGGCGUAAUGGUCAUCAGUGACCCGUCUUGAAACACGGACCAAGGAGUCGUCUUCGUAUGCGAGUGUUCGGGUGUCAAACCCCUACGCGAAAUGAAAGUGAACGCAGGUGAGAGCUUCGGCGCAUCAUCGACCGAUCCUGAUGUUAUCGGAUGGAUUUGAGUAAGAGCAUACGGGGCCGGACCCGAAAGAAGGUGAACUAUGCCUGUGUAGGGUGAAGCCAGAGGAAACUCUGGUGGAGGCUCGCAGCGGUUCUGACGUGCAAAUCGAUCGUCAAACAUGGGCAUG
RNAcentral lists this ribosomal RNA (808 nucleotides) under Fusarium falciforme. Its description in RNAcentral is "eukaryotic LSU rRNA". It matches the Rfam family "Eukaryotic large subunit ribosomal RNA", at positions 81 to 919 of the family's 3401-position model. The record is from RNAcentral. Lineage: Eukaryota; Fungi; Ascomycota; Sordariomycetes; Hypocreales; Nectriaceae.